AGAUAUGAAGGUGUGAAAAGUACCCUGAGUUGCUUCCAGAAAAGGAUGUUACGGCGGUGCUGCUCGACUUGGCGGCGGCACUGCCGUGCCUCCAGAUUCCUGAUAGCUUUAGUCUCUAACUUUAAAUGCAUAUUUCAAUAUAAAAUAAAUUUAUAUUGCAUGGUGCUAGUUGGUUAUCAAAAUUGCAAGGCAUUAGUUUUUCCACAAAAUUUGCUUUAUACAAUACUGUAUUUUAUAAUAUCCAAAUUUAAAAAGUCAAUAUAUCUAUUAAAAAAUAGUCCUAAUCAGUAUUUUUUUUUUAUAAUUAAAUGUGUAUAAUUAUAUAUUACAUACAAUAUACAUUUAUAGUAAUUUCAAAAUAGUGAAUGCUGUGAACGAGGACAGCUUAGUUUUUGUCAAUAACCGUAGACCUAUAGUAUAUCACCAGGAAUAAUGUCAAAAGGAAUAAUUUCAAAUAUUUUGAUGUUCAUUUGAUUUGCUUUAAAAAUUACUCAGAAAAUCUUAUUUAAAACAUUUAAAUAAUACCAUCUAAAU
Molecule: long non-coding RNA, 534 nt
Filed under: Androctonus crassicauda
Lineage: Eukaryota; Metazoa; Arthropoda; Arachnida; Scorpiones; Buthidae
Source: RNAcentral